RNAcentral lists this ribosomal RNA (137 nucleotides) under uncultured bacterium. RNAcentral describes it as "partial 16S ribosomal RNA". It matches the Rfam family "Bacterial small subunit ribosomal RNA", at positions 355 to 509 of the family's 1533-position model. The record is from RNAcentral.
UGGGGAAUAUUGCACAAUGGGGGAAACCCUGAUGCAGCGACGCCGCGUGAAGGAAGAAGUAUCUCGGUAUGUAAACUUCUAUCAGCAGGGAAGAAAGUGACGGUACCUGACUAAGAAGCCCUGGCUAACUACGUGCC